RNA transcript from Ictalurus furcatus (blue catfish), 1666 nucleotides. It is a transcript of the gene named cilia- and flagella-associated protein 95-like, with no coding region annotated. The transcript is spliced from 7 exons. Lineage: Eukaryota; Metazoa; Chordata; Actinopteri; Siluriformes; Ictaluridae. The record is from RefSeq and is a predicted model, not a curated record.
CGUCGUUAGAAACGUCCUCGCGCCUUGCUCUAGCUCUAAAUAAAUAUAUAAAUAAAUAAAUAGAACCACCAACAGUGAAGGUGAAAGAUACAUGCUGCGAAGAUCUGCUUUUAUUUUUCAGUAUCUUUGUAGCAAUCAGUUUAGGUUGUGUAAAUAUGAAUUACAGCAGAAAAACGCUGAUUUCAGACUGGCACAAAAACAGGGAAGCAGAGCCAAGAGACUAUGAUAUCUCUGCAUGUCGUGAUGGACAAAGAAAAUUACACAAGUCAACAUACAAACAUUUUGGCACACACUUGGAUGCAGACUGCAGAACAACAACCCAAAUGGCUCAGUCAAAGAAAGAGCAUGAGGCCAAGGACACAGCAAAAUCAAUGGUGCAGGCUGACCAUUUCCACUCACUGGUGUUUGAUAGAGAAACAGGAACAUCAGACACAGCUGGCAAAUCCAUCCUAUCCCGCUAUCAACCAAGCUGUACUGAAAAUGAGUUAAUUACUACGUAUGCAUUGGAUUACGUUCCACCUCGUUUUACCACCAAGCAGGCAAGAGAGUGAGAGAAAGAGAGAAAAAGAGAGGCUGGACAGGGAACAACUGUUUAUACAACUGUUUAUACAGCUGCAUUGGUAUACUAAGGCUCAUAUUUCUGACUUGAAACCCAUAGAAAACCUGUGGGGUGACCUGAAGAGGAGAGUCCAGCGUGGACCUCAAAAUUGGAUCUAGAGAGAUUCUUUAUGGAGGAAUGGUCUCUUGUCAUGUAUUCUCCAACCUCAUCAGGUAUUAUAGGAGAAGACUCAGAGCUGUUAUCUUGGAAAAGGGAGGUAGCACAAAGUAUUGACUAAAAAAGUGCCAAUAAUUGUUUCACACCUAUAUUUAACAAAGAUGUUUGUUUUUUGAUAAACCUGUGAUGUGUGUCCAAUUGUUUGAUAUCCAUGAGAGCAGAGUAUUUUUUGUGAAUUUUUUAAACAAAAGAUUAAAAGGUUAAACAAUAAAGACAAUUAUUCACAGCCUUCUUUGCUCAUAUUUACCAAGGAUGCCAAUAUUAGUGGAGGGCACUGUAGCGCUAUGAAUUUAAAAGAAAAAACACAUAUGAACAAAUGAAAAAAACACCAGAACAUACCCAGCUUAAAGGUGUACACUACCAUGUGACCACGAUGUGUGAAUCCAAUGGAGAAUAAUAUACUCCAAUAAUAAUUUACUCCAAACGCACUCAUAAUGGAAGCCUAAGGGAAGUUACUGAAUUUGGUUAAUAAACAUGUUAAAUACUUCAAUAUAUAAUGCAAAAUUAAACCUGCAACCUUUACACUAUAACAAUGAAGGUCUUCGGAUAAGACCGAGAUGAGAGCAAGUCUUAGCAAAACUAUCCUCAUGUAGUUUUAUGCAACACUGCAGCUAUGCAGUAAAAUGUCAUUCCAUUUAGAGCUUAUGCUUUUUCUGAAGUCUAAUCAUGUAUUCAUACAUGAUCAAGCAGAAAUUGAAGCACUGCUGAGAUAUUUUGAGCCGCAAUUACUGUAGCUUAAUUUAUUAACUGAAGAAUUCAUUGAAAAAGGCAUAAACAUGAUGACUCAAUGACUGGCCUUAGACCACUGUAUAUGUAGGUAGGUAGGUAGGUAGAUAGAUAUAAUUCAUUGGUGUUUCACUUUUCUCAGUCCUGAUUCAUGACUUUUUCAUA